CUUUUGCUGGCGACCGGCGCACGGGUGAGUAACACGUAUCCAACCUGCCCUUUACUCGGGGGUAGCCUUUCGAAAGAAAGAUUAAUACCCGAUAGCAUAAUGAUUCCGCAUGGUUUCAUUAUUAAAGGAUUCCGGUAAAGGAUGGGGAUGCGUUCCAUUAGGUUGUUGGUGAGGUAACGGCUCACCAAGCCUUCGAUGGAUAGGGGUUCUGAGAGGAAGGUCCCCCACAUUGGAACUGAGACACGGUCCAA
RNAcentral lists this ribosomal RNA (251 nucleotides) under uncultured bacterium. RNAcentral describes it as "partial 16S ribosomal RNA". It matches the Rfam family "Bacterial small subunit ribosomal RNA", at positions 78 to 334 of the family's 1533-position model. The record is from RNAcentral.